GCACAAGGGGAAGUCCGUGACUACAUCGCCAAGAAGGUCGGCAAAAGUGAGAGAAUUAAACCGAAGUCCAUGAUCCACCAAUCAGAAUUACAGUCCAACCACCAGCGGAGCAAAAGUUUCCGACCCAAACUGGACUUUCAUCCAGCAGGCUGACCACUGCAGCAUGAAGCCUGCAGCUGGCUGCACCUCACCUAGCGCGGGCCAAUAAUCUGGAUUUCCUGUGGAAGGUUUUCAUAACGCUCCUGUUCCAACCCUGCGGAUCCUGAUUCGCCAGCAGGAUCUCCCUGAUCCGGGUCCAGUUCUGGUUCCGGACUCAUCCAGCAGGGUCUGGAGGUACUGCUCCAACCCAGAGAGCCGGAUCGGCCGGACCGCUGACCCCUCAAUCACUUUUAACCAGAACAGAGCAGCAGACCGAACCGGACCUCAACACUCUUCAGUGUAGAAGCUGCUGCAGAGAAAGACGCCAGGGCAGCCAUUUUGACUGGACAGGGGUCAACCUGGGCCGGUUUCUAGUCCAUCUUAACAACCGAUGCUAAAAGCAGCUCUGAAUGCCAGCUGCACAUAAAUAAAGUUCUGCUCUCACACCCAG
Non-coding RNA from Poecilia reticulata (guppy), 589 nucleotides. The record is from RefSeq and is a predicted model, not a curated record. Lineage: Eukaryota; Metazoa; Chordata; Actinopteri; Cyprinodontiformes; Poeciliidae.